GCCUGCUGGUUUUACUUCAGCUUUCUGCGAGGCAUUAGUAUCUGCCACACGUACCUACGAAGUCGUAGGUCUCCAUGAGAGGCAAGGGACAAGAUGUUUUCUCCUGAACCUGGAGCAUAGUCAGGGUUGUCGUUCGUAGAGAUGCGACAGCUGAUUAACAGAAAAACAUAUUUUAAAACAGAUUUUUAAACAGAUAUAUAUUGAUUGGACAUAAACGAGUUUACGACCAAGAAAAUAAUCCAUUGGAUCAAUCGGUGGAUGUGGACUCAUCGGUGGAUUCAAGUAAAAUAGAGAGAUGAAAUUCAAUAAAGAUGCACCUGGUGCAACGUUAUCAUAGAUGUGUGAGUUGUGAAUUUCAUGUGGUAGGAUGCUUUGUAUUUUUUUUUUUGUAGAAUUGUUAUGAUAAAACGAAUAAUUCACAAAAUGUACCAAAAAAUAUCCAGUAUCAAAAACCUUCAACCUCCAUCAUUGAAGUAACCUAUAUGUGUAAAGUGAACGUAUCAAAUUUGAAGUGAGGGCCGGAGGUGAUUCGAAUAACCAACGUAAAGGGGGCCAUGUAUGUGAAAAAAAACAAAAGGCCUUCCGAAGAGGGGGCGACUUCAGAAAAUUUCGAUGUUUUUAAAUAAACAAAAAAAUUGUGAAAAAAUUAGGUGGUGGCAACAUUGCCUCGAGCAAGACUGCUGCGCUCCGCACGAAAACUCCUGUGAACUGUUGGCAGGAGGAAAUUGACCAAAUGCGCCCGAGUGGGAAGCAAUGGCCAUUCAAAGAAAGAGAAGGUGAUUUUCUGUGCUAGUGUUGUCGAAUUGACACUGACAGUUGUCACUAACUUCAAAUUGCUUCAAACCUCAUUAUGAAGUAUUUCAAUUAUUUUAAUCUCAUAUAUCAUUGUUUAGAAGUAGAAUGUGUAUUAGAAUAAAAUUUAAUAAUCAACAGAAAGCAAAAAUACCGAAGUAUAGAUGGCUUUAAGGCAUAGUCAUGCAAAGUAACACCUUGAGGUAAAACUUGCAGCACCACAUUAUCAUGUCUGCUAUAAACUAUGAAGAAAAAUAUAUGGAAAAUAACUUGAAUCAUGCCCUUGCAACUGCCGUAUCAAAGCUAUUAUAUCGAAGCUCCAUCUACCAGAGUUUUUUUUAAUAGGAACUAGUCAGGACUGUUCAAUGCCAAGGUUUAUUAAUGACCAAAAUCAGGACUUGAUCCAGAAUUGAAAACAACCACACAAAUUCAAAUUACUACUACAAAAUAUUUUCGGCAUUGUCAUAAUUAGUAUAUAGCAAAGUUGAAUCUUUUGAAACAUCAGGUAAUCAUUUAUAAAAGUACACCAGCUGACUGUAUUUUUCAAAAUCAUGUUGAUUGCCAUCUGUCAAAAAGCUAACAACACCCAUUUUCGAUGGCUGAUGAACUUUCGACAAGGAUGAGACAUGUCUAAGCUGGUCCUUAGGGCACUCCUUCGAAGCGCCAUAUUCACUAUCCACUGUAAGAAUCAUCUCUACGAGCAGGUUAGCAGUAGGCAGGACUUUCAUUAACAUUUAUGACUGACGCUAUAAAGUCACCGAAAAUGAUAUCAAAGAUGUCAAGGAAAGUUUCAAGAUAUUGGAAAGUUUGAAGGAAAUUGAUAUUCUGCUGCUGGUUAGUUAAUCGAUAUGAAAUAUGAUGAACCUCAGUGAAGAUAUGCAGUAGGUACAUUCUUCAUUAGGAAGAUCUUUUUGUAGCAGUUCUGGAUGAGUAGAAUAUUUUUAUCCAUUCUCAGUUUUGUUUUGUGUAUGUUUUUAAUUUUAUCCUCGUUCAUAAACUUCUUCUGUAACAAGACUCACCUAAAUCUUUUCAUAAAGUAGAAUGCCCAUUUUAGAAUAAUCUCUUUAGAUUUCACUACAGUUUUUUUUGUGAUGAAAACACUUUUCCCAAAAGCCGAAAUAGUACCUUUUCUAGAUGCGUGUUUCGCUAACCGAGUUAGAAUUAUUAAGAGAUAAUCAAAACAGUUCCAGUCGUCUCUUGAUGAUACCAAUUUGGUUAGCAGAAAUGCGCGUUGGGAAAAAUGGUUGUAGUUUGUGAAAAUCUGCUUUCAUUGGAAUAUUUUUCUACCAUAGGUUCCAGUUUUACUUAAUGGCUAAUGUUAUCUUGCUUUGAAAUAGUUUUUAGCUUUGUUAGUGAAAAUCACCACUAUUAUGAAUGCGUGUUCCUUCACUGUUUUGUCUGAUCCGUUCUACGAAUUACACGUUAAAAAUUUAGACCUCAUUAAUCCGAAUCCUGCACAAGUUUCGGCUGUUGGGGGUGGUAAUUUGUAUAGGAAUAAAAUAUGGUUAACGGAGAAACAGAAGUCAUAUGCACAACGGAAAUCACUAAUACAUAAUGAUGGACUGUCUAUUAGAAAAAUGAAGUAUAUAAAUGAAAGAAGCUGGAUUGAUGAUACACUAUCUUGGAUUAUGCAAUUAUUUUGCAAAACAAUUGUUUUCAGUUAUGAAGAAGUUACUUGAAUCCUUCACGUUUUCUUGAAUCUCUUGUUUUUUCUGUCGCUGAUUAAGGAUCUCAUUGUAAUUUGACAUAUUCUUAUGUUUCCACAUCAAUAAAUCAUUUGAAAUUCA
This is a long non-coding RNA of Leptinotarsa decemlineata (Colorado potato beetle), 2579 nucleotides long. Lineage: Eukaryota; Metazoa; Arthropoda; Insecta; Coleoptera; Chrysomelidae. The record is from RefSeq and is a predicted model, not a curated record.